RNAcentral lists this ribosomal RNA (301 nucleotides) under uncultured bacterium. Its description in RNAcentral is "partial 16S ribosomal RNA". It matches the Rfam family "Bacterial small subunit ribosomal RNA", at positions 509 to 807 of the family's 1533-position model. The record is from RNAcentral.
CAGCCGCCACGGUAAUACGUAGGUGGCAAGCGUUGUCCGGAAUUAUUGGGCGUAAAGCGCGCGCAGGUGGUUUAAUAAGUCUGAUGUGAAAGCCCACGGCUCAACCGUGGAGGGUCAUCGGAAACUGUUAAACUUGAGUGCAGGAGAGAAAAGUGGAAUUCCUAGUGUAGCGGUGAAAUGCGUAGAGAUUAGGAGGAACACCAGUGGCGAAGGCGGCUUUUUGGCCUGUAACUGACACUGAGGCGCGAAAGCGUGGGGAGCAAACAGGAUUAGAUACCCCAGUAGUCCCUGUCUCUUAUAC